This 99-nucleotide small nuclear RNA is filed under the name Nannospalax galili (Upper Galilee mountains blind mole rat). Lineage: Eukaryota; Metazoa; Chordata; Mammalia; Rodentia; Spalacidae. The record is from RNAcentral.
GUGCUUCAGCAGCUCAUAUACUAAAAUUGGAACGAUACAAAGAAGAUUAUCAUGGCCCCUGCACAAAUAAUAUAUUUUUAUAACUCACUCAAUAUUCUU